This is a non-coding RNA of Acanthosepion pharaonis, 113 nucleotides long. The record is from the annotation of a GenBank genome assembly. Lineage: Eukaryota; Metazoa; Mollusca; Cephalopoda; Sepiida; Sepiidae.
CUACGGCCAUAUCGUGUUAAAAUACCGGUUCUUGACUGAUCACCGAAUUUAAGCAACGUUGAACCUGGUCAGUAUCAGAUGGGUGAUCGUUCGGGAAUACCAGGUGCUGUAAG